AGAGUUUGAUCAUGGCUCAGGACGAACGCUGGCGGCGUGCCUAACACAUGCAAGUCGAACGAGGUCCAUCCGGUGGCAACACCGGGGAAGACCUAGUGGCGAACGGGUGAGUAACACGUGAGAAACCUGCCCCGAAGACCGGGAUAACCCUCCGAAAGGAGAGCUAAUACCGGAUACCCCCACCGGAUCGCAUGAUCUGGUGAGGAAAUGGAUUCCGCUUCGGGAGGGUCUCGCGGCCUAUCAGCUUGUUGGUGGGGUAAUGGCCCACCAAGGCUUCGACGGGUAGCUGGUCUGAGAGGACGAUCAGCCACACUGGGACUGAGACACGGCCCAGACUCCUACGGGAGGCAGCAGUGGGGAAUCUUGCGCAAUGGGCGAAAGCCUGACGCAGCAACGCCGCGUGGGGGAUGAAGGCUCUCGGGUUGUAAACCCCUUUCAGCAGGGACGAAACUGACGGUACCUGCAGAAGAAGCCCCGGCCAACUACGUGCCAGCAGCCGCGGUAACACGUAGGGGGCAAGCGUUGUCCGGAUUUAUUGGGCGUAAAGAGCUCGUAGGCGGCUUAGUAAGUCGGGUGUGAAACCUCCAGGCUCAACCUGGAGACGCCACCCGAUACUGCUGUGGCUUGAGUCCGGUAGGGGAGCGUGGAAUUCCUGGUGUAGCGGUGAAAUGCGCAGAUAUCAGGAGGAACACCAGCGGCGAAGGGCGCUCUGGGCCGGAACUGACGCUGAGGAGCGAAAGCGUGGGUAGCAAACAGGAUUAGAUACCCUAGUAGUCC
Molecule: ribosomal RNA, 777 nt
Filed under: uncultured bacterium
Lineage: Bacteria
Description: bacterial SSU rRNA
Rfam family: Bacterial small subunit ribosomal RNA
Source: RNAcentral